Molecule: ribosomal RNA, 483 nt
Filed under: uncultured bacterium
Lineage: Bacteria
Description: partial 16S ribosomal RNA
Rfam family: Bacterial small subunit ribosomal RNA
Source: RNAcentral
AUUGAACGCUGGCGGCAGGCCUAACACAUGCAAGUCGAGCGGAUGAAGGGAGCUUGCUCCUGGAUUCAGCGGCGGACGGGUGAGUAAUGCCUAGGAAUCUGCCUGGUAGUGGGGGAUAACGUCCGGAAACGGGCGCUAAUACCGCAUACGUCCUGAGGGAGAAAGUGGGGGAUCUUCGGACCUCACGCUAUCAGAUGAGCCUAGGUCGGAUUAGCUAGUUGGUGGGGUAAAGGCCUACCAAGGCGACGAUCCGUAACUGGUCUGAGAGGAUGAUCAGUCAAACUGGAACUGGGACACGGUCCAGACUCCUACGGGAGGCAGCAGGGGGGAAUAUUGGACAAUGGGCGAAAGCCUGAUCCAGCCAUGCCGCGUGUGUGAAGAAGGUCUUCGGAUUGUAAAGCACUUUAAGUUGGGAGGAAGGGCAGUAAGUUAAUACCUUGCUGUUUUGACGUUACCAACAGAAUAAGCACCGGCUAACUUCGU